AAGUCGUAACAAGGUUUCCGUAGGUGAACCUGCGGAAGGAUCAUUAUUGAAAACAUUGUGAAGAAAGUUGAGCUGGCUCUUCAAGGGCAUGUGCUUGCUUUCUUUCAAUCUUCAUCCACCUGUGCACUCUUUGUAGGAGGGCUUAAGAAAGGACGCAAGUCUUAGUAAAGAGCCCUUCUAUGUUUUACAAACCCUUGAUGUAUGUCUUUGAAUGUCUUUUUAAAGGGACUUUAUUGGCCCUCUAAGAACUAUACAACUUUCAGCAACGGAUCUCUUGGCUCUC
RNAcentral lists this unclassified non-coding RNA (283 nucleotides) under air metagenome. RNAcentral's name for it is "partial contains small subunit ribosomal RNA, internal transcribed spacer 1, and 5.8S ribosomal RNA". The stretch from base 1 to 46 matches the Rfam family "Eukaryotic small subunit ribosomal RNA", at positions 1786 to 1831 of the family's 1831-position model. The record is from RNAcentral.